RNAcentral lists this long non-coding RNA (6016 nucleotides) under Zea mays. Its description in RNAcentral is "long non-coding RNA (ZMAY_LNC001713)". The record is from RNAcentral. Lineage: Eukaryota; Viridiplantae; Streptophyta; Magnoliopsida; Poales; Poaceae.
GCCCCUCCCCCUUCCCCUUGCAGCCACCCUCCACUACUUCCUCCUCUCUCUAGAUCUCCCCCCACGCAGCAAGGAUCGAGAAGAGGAGGAGCAAGAUGGAUUGAAGAGGAAGAGAGGAUCAAGGAGAUGUUCUACCCCCAUCUCUUGCAGAUUUUCUUAGGGAAACCCUAGGUAAGGAUAGGAUCCUUGUUCCUCCCUAUAAUUAUAUGCUUUUGGAGGUUGUGGAUCAUGUGGAUUGAAGGAUUAGAGGUUGGAUUAGAUGUGGGGUUAGGUUUUGAUCUCGAAUUUAAUUUCUGCAGAAUGACAGAUUCGACAGUUUCUGUUCAUGUCAGUUUUCCGUGGUCUUAAUGGCCUCAAAAAAAUAAAAAGUCUAUAUAUGAGUCGUAUAUAAUUUGUAGAUCUUUCCGUGGCCACGAAGAACACCUCAAUCGGACAUCAGAACAGAAAGUUAUUGCAGUUUGAUUAUAGCAGUUUUUCAGUCUCAUAAUUUUGUGCAGAAUCUGUUCUCUUAAGAGUUAGGCAAUUUUAUCAACAGAAUUAAACUGUGGGUUGGUAAAAUAAGUUGUAGAUAAUUUCAUAAGCUUUCCAGAUUGUUAAAGAGUGUGUUCAUAUGAUUUAUAAAACUCCAGUUAUGUUUGUUUUACUGUGACUGUUCCUGUUUGCCUGACAAAAAUGAGUGGGUCUGUUCACUGGUGGGUUUCAUCUAGUAAAUGGCCUAAUUGGCUCUUCCAACUGUGGAGACUUUUGUAGAGGGAUAAAAGUUCUUACUGCCAGCAGAAUUUUAUAAUUUUUGGUUCAGUAGUUUGGGAGAUAUCGAAUUUUGAAGUUAACUAGGCUGCUGUCUAAAACAGAUUCAGUCAGUUAUCUUGUCAGAUGUUUUAGAAUAUAUUGAUGGCAGAAUUUAAUUAUCCAUUGAAUACCGAAGUUGUAGAUUGUUUUGUGUAGAUACUCUUAGAGUAUUUGUUUGAUAUCACCAAUGUUUUAAUUUUAAAGAUACAAAAUUAACAAACAGCGCUGCUGCUGUAUAGCAUGUGGUUCAGGGUGGGAGUCUUUCCACUAUGUCUUGGUUUCAAGUGUAGGAGUGUUUUGUUGAUUGUUAGCAAAUGUUUGUGAAAUAUUUGUACUAAGUUUUAUGCAGAUGAAGUCUUAUUUGAGGUAUGCAUGUGGUUCAUGAGAUUAAUUCACACCCCUGAAGGCAGAUGAAGUCUUAUUUGAGGUUUGCAUUGUAUCUAAAGGCAUAUGAAGUAUUAUUUGAGGAUUGCAUUGUAUCUGAAGGCAGAUAAAGUAUUAUUUGAGGUUUGUAUUGUAUCUAAAGGAAGUGAAAUUUAUUGAUAAAUGCAGCAUGCCAUAUACAUUGCAUGACUCAUUUGCAUCUGAAGUUUUGUCGUGACCUAUGGUCCGACCGUACCGGUACAACUUAGCAUCGUACGUUGCCCGAGAAGGGGUACGAUGCAGCUUCAUACCCUUAGAGGUAUGAAGGCAGAGGACAUAUGCAUUACAUUCAUAUGCAUACAUUGAAGUGAUAUUUGCAGAUGAUGUGGUUUUAUACCCUCAAAGGUAUGAAGAUAGAUGACCUACACAUUGCUUUCCUAUGCAUACAUUGAAGUGGUAUUUGCAGGUAUUGUUGAUGCAGGGAAGUGUUAUACAACAUAUUGUGGUUGUUCGAGGAAAUGAGAUGGUAUUAGUUAUAUUGUGACCACUGAGUUCUAUAUCUACAAGUAUUUCUGAUCUUGAUUGUGAUUCUUUUAAAAUGUUGAUUAAUUCAAUGUGGUUUAAAUAUCUCGUCAAAACAAUUAGCUUGCUGAGAUGUUUCAUCUCACUCUUGCAUUACUCAAUGCAGGUGCUUGUUGCUUAUCAAGGGGAGUGGGAAGUAGCAGCACAUACACCUUCACUCUCAUAAUAACGCUGCCCAGGCGCAGUCAUGAUUUAAUUAGAAACUUCUUGUCAAAGGAUGUUUGUUUUUAACUAGUCGUGCGCACUGGUUAAUUCAGUUCAUGUCGUUAUGGUCGUCUUCCCAUUGCUAGCAGAUUAUUAAUGUCUAUUUUGUUUUCUUAUUAUGAUAUCUAUUUAUACUUUGUUGCUUCCCCGUUUAUGCAAUUUUCAAAGGAGACACUGUCGAAAUUUUAUAUAUGAAUGUUAGAUGUGUAGUUUAGUAGCAUUCUGGGGUGUUUGUGGAUCCCGGGGUGUUAAGCUUAGGCUUUAGAUUCUUGGCAAUUUGAAGAUAAAUUUGACACACUUGCACAUAUAGGAAGGGUAUGGGUUCAAGUAUCUUUGAUAUAUAUUAGUGACUUUGAAGUGCAGAUGACAAUAAUUUCACCCCUCCCGAUUCCUUUACGGUGAUGUGGUAAGUUGUUUAUGGCUUAAUGCUUGAUAUAAUUUAUUUCUGAAAUUUUGAUAUCGUUUUAUUAAUGCGGUAGAUAUCGCUGGUCAUUUGUGAGAAUGAAGUUGUUAUUAUGCUUGUGAUAUACAAGUAUGCCUAUGUUGUUUUCACUAUGUUUUUCAUGGUUGAGUUUUAUUACAAUAAUAUUGUUAUAUAUGCUUGACUGAGGAUGUUUCUAAGAGGAGUGUGAAUUGCGUGUUUUGGGGUACAAGGUAAUCAUCAAUUUGAAUUUAAGUUGUUGAGCGGUUGGUGGAUAGCUCCAACUAUCUUUGCAAAGAAUGAUUGUUUAUGUUGAGAAACCAGUUCUGAAAGAAAUGAAUAUUGGUACUUGUAUAUGGAUUUUGGGGGAAGUCUUUACAUAGCCAGAAUGGCUUACAUGUCUCUCUUCUAUCGUGUGUUUUAGUAGCCACAAAACCUAGAUGUGGUUUAAAGUGGUUGCAUGUUAGUCAUGAUAAUUGUAGAAUAAAUCUUUGAUUUUUCUUGAUCCAUUGAUUAUGUAUUAAUACGUUGAGGAUUUGAUGGUUCUCUUCCUGAUGCAUGUUUGUGGAGCCAUUGUUGGACCACUUAUCUAUUGGUUUGAAUGAAGUCAUUGCCUAGCCUAGAGUUGGUUGUGUGUGGUUAUUCACCUAUUCCUAAAUGAUGUGGUUUUUACAUCAACUUGGGAUGUUUGCCAAAUGUGUGAAGGAUUACGGGGUUAGUAUUGGCCCUUUAUGUCUGGUACUCUGAGUGCAUCAUAUGAUAGAAUGAGAUGUAAGUUUCUGAACUACAAUAGAUGAAGACUCAUAUUAUGUGUAGGUUAACUUUAGUAGUUGGAUAUUUUUAUUAGUUGAGAUGCUGAAUGAAGUAUAGUGACAUGGGUUAAGCAAGUAUUGUGUUGUUGUUGGGCUGUCAGUGCUCUAUGUAGAGUUUUUGAAAUUUCUUCGAUGAACUGUGCCGCGCAAGAUUUUAUUGGCUUCUUGUCGGCUUUAUUUCUCCAUUAGUUCUAUAGAUUUUCUCCCUUUUGGUGGAGUGCAAAGUAUGUUAGAUUACAUGAUUAUCGUUUCAUUAUGGCAAGAACAAGGUUUAGGAAGAUUAGGAGUUUUGUUUCAAUAGAACUACUUGUUUCGUGGUGUUGUGAGGUGAGGUGUUUGAUCUUCUUACACAUUCAUCUGGUGUGGAUGUUUCACCAUUGAAUUAAAAUGAAUUGUUGAAGUUGGUAAAGGUUGUGCUUAGUGCAUAUUACCCCUUCAUAAAAGAGUGUCGUUUUAAGACAUUGAUGUUGAUGUAUGGCUGCAUCCAAAUUCGAUGUUGUGAAAUCGUAGUGUUGAUUGCAUCUAUGACUUGGUUUGAGCUUCAUUACAUGUUGGUUCAUCCUUGAUGUCAGGUUGUGUAGUUUCCUUAGACAAUUAGUCCAAGGUAGAAGUUCUUAUGUUAAUUAAGACCAAUAAUGGACCCAUGUUUCGAAUGGUGGUGCUAUAUGGGGUACCUUGGGUGUUUUGCUUGGAGUGGUCGAAUUCGAGGACGAAUUCUUUUUAAGGGGGUAGAGUGUAAUAUCCCAAAAAAAAUGUUGCCAAAGGUUUAUCUUCAGUGCGUGGAUGUGGGGAAAGAGUUGUGGGCCGUUGGAUGCAAAGUCAAGAGACAUCUGAGGCGUCGUUUCUUUCUCCCACAAAACCCUAGUGGUCGCCCCCCCUAUUUUUCCCUUUUCUUGGCCGCCAACCCCCCUUUUUCCCCACCCUCGGCCGCCCCUCCCCCUUCCCCUUGCAGCCACCCUCCACUACUUCCUCCUCUCUCUAGAUCUCCCCCCACGCAGCAAGGAUCGAGAAGAGGAGGAGCAAGAUGGAUUGAAGAGGAAGAGAGGAUCAAGGAGAUGUUCUACCCCCAUCUCUUGCAGAUUUUCUUAGGGAAACCCUAGGUAAGGAUAGGAUCCUUGUUCCUCCCUAUAAUUAUAUGCUUUUGGAGGUUGUGGAUCAUGUGGAUUGAAGGAUUAGAGGUUGGAUUAGAUGUGGGGUUAGGUUUUGAUCUCGAAUUUAAUUUCUGCAGAAUGACAGAUUCAACAGUUUCUGUUCAUGUCAGUUUUCCGUGGUCUUAAUGGCCUCAAAAAAAUAAAAAGUCUAUAUAUGAGUCGUAUAUAAUUUGUAGGUCUUUCCGUGGCCAUGAAGAACACCUCAAUCGGACAUCAGAACAGAAAGUUAUUGCAGUUUGAUUAUAGCAGUUUUUCAGUCUCAUAAUUUUGUGCAGAAUCUGUUCUCUUAAGAGUUAGGCAAUUUUAUCAACAGAAUUAAACUGUGGGUUGGUAAAAUAAGUUGUAGAUAAUUUCAUAAGCUUUCCAGAUUGUUAAAGAGUGUAUUCAUAUGAUUUAUAAAACUCCAGUUAUGUUUGUUUUACUGUGGCUGUUCCUGUUUGCCUGACAAAAAUGAGUGGGUCUGUUCACUGGUGGGUUUCAUCUAGUAAAUGGCCUAAUUGGCUCUUCCAACUGUGGAGACUUUUGUAGAGGGAUAAAAGUUCUUACUGCCAGCAGAAUUUUAUAAUUUUUGGUUCAGUAGUUUGGGAGAUAUCGAAUUUUGAAGUUAACUAGGCUGCUGUCUAAAACAGAUUCAGUCAGUUAUCUUGUCAGAUGUUUUAGAAUAUAUUGAUGGCAGAAUUUAAUUAUCCAUUGAAUACCGAAGUUGUAGAUUGUUUUGUGUAGAUACUCUUAGAGUAUUUGUUUGAUAUCACCAAUGUUUUAAUUUUAAAGAUACAAAAUUAACAAACAGCGCUGCUGCUGUAUAGCAUGUGGUUCAGGGUGGGAGUCUUUCCACUAUGUCUUGGUUUCAAGUGUAGGAGUGUUUUGUUGAUUGCUAGCAAAUAUUUGUGAAAUAUUUGUACUAAGUUUUAUGCAGAUGAAGUCUUAUUUGAGGUAUGCAUGUGGUUCAUGAGAUUAAUUCACACCCCUGAAGGCAGAUGAAGUCUUAUUUGAGGUUUGCAUUGUAUCUAAAGGCAUAUGAAGUAUUAUUUGAGGAUUGCAUUGUAUCUGAAGGCAGAUAAAGUAUUAUUUGAGGUUUGUAUUGUAUCUAAAGGAAGUGAAAUUUAUUGAUAAAUGCAGCAUGCCAUAUACAUUGCAUGACUCAUUUGCAUCUGAAGUUUUGUCGUGACCUAUGGUCCGACCGUACCGGUACAACUUAGCAUCGUACGUUGCCCGAGAAGGGGUACGAUGCAGCUUCAUACCCUUAGAGGUAUGAAGGCAGAGGACAUAUGCAUUACAUUCAUAUGCAUACAUUGAAGUGAUAUUUGCAGAUGAUGUGGUUUUAUACCCUCAAAGGUAUGAAGAUAGAUGACCUACACAUUGCUUUCCUAUGCAUACAUUGAAGUGAUAUUUGCAGGUAUUGUUGAUGCAGGGAAGUGUUAUACAACAUAUUGUGGUUGUUCGAGGAAAUGAGAUGGUAUUAGUUAUAUUGUGACUACUGAGUUCUAUAUCUACAAGUAUUUCUGAUCUUGAUUGUGAUUCUUUUAAAAUGUUGAUUAAUUCAAUGUGGUUUAAAUAUCUCGUCAAAACAAUUAGCUUGCUGAGAUGUUUCAUCUCACUCUUGCAUUACUCAAUGCAGGUGCUUGUUGCUCAUCAAGGGGAGUGGGAAGUAGCAGCACAUACACCUUCACUCUCAUAAUAACGCUGCCCAGGCG